RNAcentral lists this ribosomal RNA (459 nucleotides) under uncultured Psychrobacter sp. RNAcentral's name for it is "partial 16S ribosomal RNA". It matches the Rfam family "Bacterial small subunit ribosomal RNA", at positions 341 to 792 of the family's 1533-position model. The record is from RNAcentral. Lineage: Bacteria; Pseudomonadati; Pseudomonadota; Gammaproteobacteria; Moraxellales; Moraxellaceae.
ACGGAAGGCAGCAGUGGGGAAUAUUGGACAAUGGGGGCAACCCUGAUCCAGCCAUGCCGCGUGUGUGAAGAAGGCCUUUUGGUUGUAAAGCACUUUAAGCAGUGAAGAAGACUCUAUGGUUAAUACCCAUAGACGAUGACAUUAGCUGCAGAAUAAGCACCGGCUAACUCUGUGCCAGCAGCCGCGGUAAUACAGAGGGUGCAAGCGUUAAUCGGAAUUACUGGGCGUAAAGCGAGCGUAGGUGGCUUAAUAAGUCAGAUGUGAAAUCCCCGGGCUUAACCUGGGAACUGCAUCUGAUACUGUUGGGCUAGAGUAGGUGAGAGGGAGGUAGAAUUUCAGGUGUAGCGGUGAAAUGCGUAGAGAUCUGAAGGAAUACCGAUGGCGAAGGCAGCCUCCUGGCAUCAUACUGACACUGAGGUUCGAAAGCGUGGGUAGCAAACAGGAUUAGAUACCCUGGUA